UGGGGUAAUGGCUUACCAAGGCGAAGACGGCUAGGGGGCGUGAGAGCGCGAACCCCCACAAUGGAACUGAGACACGGUCCAUACUCCUACGGGAGCGCAGCAGUGAGGAAUAUUGCGCAAUGGGGGCAACCCUGACGCAGCAACGCCGCGUGGACGAUGAAGGCCUACGGGUUGUAAAGUCCUUUUCUGAAGGAAGAUAGUGACGGUACUUCAGGAAUCAGUCCCGACUAACUACGUGCCAGCAGCCGCGGUAAAACGUAGGGGGCGAGCGUGAUCCGGAUUUACUGGGCGUAAAGCGCACGUAGGCGGCAUCGUAAGUCGGACCGUGAAAAGCUCCCGGGCUCACUGGGAGAGGUCUGUCAAAACUGUGGUGCUUGAGGUUGAUAGAGGAGAGUGGAAUUCCCGGUGUAGUGGUGGAAUGCGUAGAUAUCGGGAGGAACACCAGUGGCGAAGGCGGCUCUCUAGGUCACACCUGACGCUGAGGUGCGAAAGCGUGGGGAGCGAACGGGAUUAGAUACCCCGGUAGUCCACGCUGUAAACGAUGGAUACUAGGUGUGGGAGGUUAUUUACCCCUUCUGUGCCGUAGCUAACGCGUUAAGUAUCCCGCCUGGGGACUACGGCCGCAAGGUUAAAACUCAAAGGAAUUGACGGGGGCCCGCACAAGCAGCGGAGCGUGUGGUUUAAUUCGAUGAUACGCGAAGAACCUUACCUGGGCUUGACAUGGUGGUAGUAGUGAAGCGAAAGCGGAACGACCCUUCGGGGAGCCAUCACAGGUGCUGCAUGGCUGUCGUCAGCUCGUGUCGUGAGAUGUUGGGUUAAGUCCCGCAACGAGCGCAACCCUCGUCGCUAGUUAUAUGUGUCUAGUGAGACUGCCGGUAUCAAACCGGAGGAAGGUGGGGAUGACGUCAAGUCAGCAUGGUCUUUAUGUCCAGGGCUACACACACGCUACAAUGGCCGGUACAAUGGGUUGCCAUACCGCGAGGUGGAGCUAAUCCUCAAAGCCGGUCUCAGUUCGGAUUGCAGUCUGCAACUCGGCUGCAUGAAGGUGGAGUUGCUAGUAACCGCGCGUCAGCAAUAGUGCGGUGAAUGCGUUCCCGGGCCUUGUACACACCGCCCGUCACAUCAUGGGAGUCGGCAACACCUGAAGUCGGUGACCAAACCGAAAGG
RNAcentral lists this ribosomal RNA (1167 nucleotides) under uncultured organism. Its description in RNAcentral is "bacterial SSU rRNA". It matches the Rfam family "Bacterial small subunit ribosomal RNA", at positions 253 to 1446 of the family's 1533-position model. The record is from RNAcentral.